Molecule: long non-coding RNA, 1049 nt
Filed under: Zonotrichia albicollis (white-throated sparrow)
Lineage: Eukaryota; Metazoa; Chordata; Aves; Passeriformes; Passerellidae
Description: lncRNA (ENSZALG00000016814.1)
Source: RNAcentral
GCAAAAAUGAGCACAUUCAGGCAUGAGAGAAAGAAGUGAAAUCAGAUUGUAUUGCAUUUCUUUGGCAUAUAUGGUGCGAUGCAAGACUUUUUUCUUUUCUUAACUCCUGAAAUUUGAGAUAGCCUGAGAAAAAUACCAGCAUGGACAAAAAUGAGGAAUCAGCUUUCCAUCUAAAUGCUAUUUUAAAAGAUCCCAUAAAUCACAGACUGCACCACUGCUGAUGACAUCUAUAAAACAUUUCCUGGUUGGACACAGGUCACUUUGACAUGGAACUGAAGGCAUGUAACCACUCCCCACCACCUCUGGUUUGGUGAUACAACAAAUCCAUUUGAGCCUCCAGCACAGGGCCAGGAGCACACCAGACCUGUGAAGGUUUAUUUCAGCACUCCUGAGUGGGUGCAGACUCCUGUGUUUUGGGGAAGGAUUUCCUGUGUGGCUGCUGGGGACAGGAGCACAGAACCACACCCAGCUGAUCCCUGCCAGACAUGCUCUCACCUCAGUGAGGAUUUUAGACCAAACAAGCAUCUUUUUGCUGGAGGUGAUGGUGGAAUUUUCACCCUGCAAAAAUUUUAGGGAUUACAAUCCCUUCCUGCAUGUAUCAUUUUUUUCCCCACUAAAACUCCUAAACCAGAUUUCUCCUGUGCGGUCACUGGCUCCUAUAUUAGACUCUUUCUGAAUCAUAAUCUCCAAAUCCUAUUCUGGCUCCAGACAGCAUCUCAUUUUUUGGCUGAGGAUUGAGGGAAGCCUCCUUCUCCCCAUAUGCAGGGACACAGAUAUCCUUUCGUGGUUGAUGCUAAACUGCUCUCCUCCCAAGACAAGACACAACAGCAUUUUUGCAGGCUCCAAGUGAUAAGGUGCAUCCAGGUGAGCUUUCCUGUGCUGCAGAGGCCGGAGCAGCAAUUCCCAGCACACCGAGCCUGUGAUCCAUCCUGUAGUGCUGCUCUGGGCACGCUACGGAGCUGGAGCUGCUCCCUCACACCCCGCAGGGUCCGGCAGGGCUGCCAGGACAGCAGCUGUUGGGAAGGAUGAAAGUUUGACAAGAAAGUCUC